Peromyscus eremicus (cactus mouse) is the source of this 1509-nucleotide long non-coding RNA. RefSeq lists it as uncharacterized. The record is from RefSeq and is a predicted model, not a curated record. The transcript is spliced from 5 exons. NCBI's taxonomy places the organism in Eukaryota, Metazoa, Chordata, Mammalia, Rodentia, Cricetidae.
CAAGCAGAUGGCAGGUGUCAAUGGGGACAAAGAGCCAUCUGCGCAGCGAGGCUGCCCCACUGUCUCUCACAGGGACUUCAUUAAGAUAGCUGAUGAAAAGUUAAGUACCUAUGCUGGUUGGGUUUUGUCAAUUUGACACAAACCUGGACAUAUCUGGGAAGAUCCUGGGAAUCUUAACUGAGGAAAUGGCCCCGUAAGCUUGGCCCGUAGGGAGCUCGGGACUAUUCCACAUUCCCCGCCUUCUGCUGAUUCCCAGAAUCAAGGACACCUGAAACCUGCCAGGGAGCCUGCCCCCAGUUUUCAUCACCAGCAUCCUCAGAUACUCUGGACGUGGCCGUUGAGAUUCUGGCUGAGGACGACGACGUGAUAGGAAGUAGGACCAUCUAAGGCAUCCUGGGGAUUCUUUCAUCCUGAGUUUCCACCCAAGGUUCCUCAUCACCUCUGCACUAGGCAUCUGUGACGUCCAAGGCACUGCUCCCACCAGCUUUACUGCCUGCUCACAUUGGUACAUGCCUCAGAAAAUGCUUCAGUUCUACCUGCUCUCAGUCGCCCGCUCCCAGACUCCAUGGACAACUCACUUCCUCAUUCCUUUCGAGAGACAGAUUUUUCCAUUUCUCCAUAGUCAGGAUCCAGGUGGGGCUCACAGGAAGGAGGAACGCCAUGUCUGCACACUGCUGAGGGACAGUGGUGAAGACUUUUUUUGGCAGCACCCAGCCUGGGCCUUACAACUAAAGGUUUGCCUUGAGAAGAGGAAACUCAGGACUUUUAAACAUUGGACUUCAGAGCUGGAUACAACAGGGGCUGAUGCCAUGUUUUGGAAAGUGUUCUCUCUCUCUCUCUCUCUCUCUCUCUCUCUCUCUCUCUCUCUCUCUCUCUCUCUCUUUCUCCCUCUCGUUGGUUCUGAAACACUCACAGGUAUAUUUAACCUAUUACUUGUUAUUUGCCUGUGUGGAAAAUGUGAAGCUCCUCAAUAAUCAGAAUGAGAAGAGUAUUCCCAAAGCUCCACUACAUAUGUACAGACUCACACUUUCCUGACACAGGUAAAUAAUCUCAAACUCCAAAUACAGGCUCUUCUGUCCUUUCCCUCCCUCCGCUUCCUCCAGCACCUCUGGCCUUACACUCUGUACCUGGAGUCUGAACAGUGAUUAGAAGUUGCGAUGGGAAGAGAGAAGUUCAGGAUGGUUGGAUUCUGUCUGCAAACGGUGAUGAAGAGCAGUGUGGAUUCUGUGCAGGGUGGGGAAUGGGUCCUCUGCAUCUCCCAACUGCCCAGCAGGGCUGAGGCCGGUGGGGCAGAUCUAGUGCUCCACUGCUCACUCUGUAGGCCCUAGAGAACAUCUGUUUUCAUUCCUCAUCUUCAUAAUCAUAACUACAUUCGUCAUCAUCUUAGUUCAAAUACAGGAAAGGAAAAUAACCCUUUAAAGUUUCUUCUCAAUAUGUUUUGAAAUCUUAUUUAAUAGUUUUGAUUAUACAGUGGUUGUUGAAUAAACACAGCAACAGAACAAUGCUAUA